ACACAUGCAAGUCGAACGGCAGCACGGGAGCAAUCCUGGUGGCGAGUGGCGAACGGGUGAGUAAUACAUCGGAACGUGCCCAAUCGUGGGGGAUAACGCAGCGAAAGCUGUGCUAAUACCGCAUGAGAUCUACGGAUGAAAGCAGGGGACCGCAAGGCCUUGCGCGAAUGGAGCGGCCGAUGGCAGAUUAGGUAGUUGGUGAGGUAAAGGCUCACCAAGCCUGCGAUCUGUAGCUGGUCUGAGAGGACGACCAGCCACACUGGGACUGAGACACGGCCCAGACUCCUACGGGAGGCAGCAGUGGGGAAUUUUGGACAAUGGGCGCAAGCCUGAUCCAGCCAUGCCGCGUGCAGGAUGAAGGCCUUCGGGUUGUAAACUGCUUUUGUACGGAACGAAAAGGCUUUCUCUAAUAAAGAGGGCUCAUGACGGUACCGUAAGAAUAAGCACCGGCUAACUACGUGCCAGCAGCCGCGGUAAUACGUAGGGUGCAAGCGUUAAUCGGAAUUACUGGGCGUAAAGCGUGCGCAGGCGGUGAUGUAAGACAGUUGUGAAAUCCCCGGGCUCAACCUGGGAACUGCAUCUGUGACUGCAUCGCUGGAGUGCGGCAGAGGGGGAUGGAAUUCCGCGUGUAGCAGUGAAAUGCGUAGAUAUGCGGAGGAACACCGAUGGCGAAGGCAAUCCCCUGGGCCUGCACUGACGCUCAUGCACGAAAGCGUGGGGAGCAAACAGGAUUAGAUACCCUGGUAGUCCACGCCCUAAACGAUGUCAACUGGUUGUUGGGUCUUCACUGACUCAGUAACGAAGCUAACGCGUGAAGUUGACCGCCUGGGGAGUACGGCGC
This 841-nucleotide ribosomal RNA is filed under the name uncultured bacterium. RNAcentral's name for it is "bacterial SSU rRNA". It matches the Rfam family "Bacterial small subunit ribosomal RNA", at positions 51 to 888 of the family's 1533-position model. The record is from RNAcentral.